Molecule: ribosomal RNA, 515 nt
Filed under: uncultured bacterium
Lineage: Bacteria
Description: partial 16S ribosomal RNA
Rfam family: Bacterial small subunit ribosomal RNA
Source: RNAcentral
GAUGAACGCUGGCGGCGUGCCUAAUACAUGCAAGUCGAGCGAAUGGAUUAAGAGCUUGCCCUUAUGAAGUUAGCGGCGGACGGGUGAGUAACACGUGGGUAACCUGCCCAUAAGACUGGGAUAACUCCGGGAAACCGGGGCUAAUACCGGAUAAUAUUUUGAACUGCAUGGUUCAAAAUUGAAAGGCGGCUUCGGCUGUCACUUAUGGAUGGACCCGCGUCGCAUUAGCUAGUUGGUGAGGUAACGGCUCACCAAGGCAACGAUGCGUAGCCGACCUGAGAGGGUGAUCGGCCACACUGGGACUGAGACACGGCCCAGACUCCUACGGGAGGCAGCAGUAGGGAAUCUUCCACAAUGGACGAAAGUCUGACGGAGCAACGCCGCGUGAGUGAUGAAGGCUUUCGGGUCGUAAAACUCUGUUGUUAGGGAAGAACAAGUGCUAGUUGAAUAAGCUGGCACCUUGACGGUACCUAACCAGAAAGCCACGGCUAACUACGUGCCAGCCGCCGCAGUAA